This 496-nucleotide ribosomal RNA is filed under the name Pseudoalteromonas sp. 10-33. RNAcentral's name for it is "bacterial SSU rRNA". It matches the Rfam family "Bacterial small subunit ribosomal RNA", at positions 1 to 491 of the family's 1533-position model. The record is from RNAcentral. Lineage: Bacteria; Pseudomonadati; Pseudomonadota; Gammaproteobacteria; Alteromonadales; Pseudoalteromonadaceae.
UUAAUUGAAGAGUUUGAUCAUGGCUCAGAUUGAACGCUGGCGGCAGGCCUAACACAUGCAAGUCGAGCGGUAACAGAGAGUAGCUUGCUACUUUGCUGACGAGCGGCGGACGGGUGAGUAAUGCUUGGGAACAUGCCUUGAGGUGGGGGACAACAGUUGGAAACGACUGCUAAUACCGCAUAAUGUCUACGGACCAAAGGGGGCUUCGGCUCUCGCCUUUAGAUUGGCCCAAGUGGGAUUAGCUAGUUGGUGAGGUAAUGGCUCACCAAGGCAACGAUCCCUAGCUGGUUUGAGAGGAUGAUCAGCCACACUGGAACUGAGACACGGUCCAGACUCCUACGGGAGGCAGCAGUGGGGAAUAUUGCACAAUGGGCGCAAGCCUGAUGCAGCCAUGCCGCGUGUGUGAAGAAGGCCUUCGGGUUGUAAAGCACUUUCAGUCAGGAGGAAAGGGUGUGAGUUAAUACCUCACAUCUGUGACGUUACUGACAGAAGAAGC